AUGUUGGUGCGGACAAAGAAGGAGAGGGAGGGCUGGCUGGAAGGUAACCCGAGCACAACCAAUACUAGAUCUGAAGGCUCAUGGCGGAAGUUGUGGAAAGUGAAAGUACCGUCCAAAAUUCGUGUCUUUGCAUGGCGCCUUGCAAAAAACUCAGUGCCGACUGGUGUAGUCCUGGAACAUCGUAACAUGGCAACGACAACGGUUUGCGCAAUUUGCCACGCUGCUAAGGACACCUGCACGAUGUCAAGAUGUGUGUGGGCAUUGGUGGAUGAAGAGCUCACAUAACACAUGUGUAUUUCCAUCUGUCCAGAUGCGAAGGAAUGGUUGUUUCAUCUGAGCGAGACUCUCAGCCAGGAUUUUAUCAAGGUGUUAGUCACGCUCUGGGCUAUAUGGAGUGCGAGACGGAAGGCGUUGCAUGAGAAUAUAUAUCAAAGUCCGGUCUCAGUUAUUGGCUUUGUGCAGAACUAUAUUUCAGAACUUGAAUAGGUUUCACCGGUUCAGCAACAAACUAUGGGACGCACAUGCCAUGAAGCUCUGAAGUGGAUACCGCCCCCAGCAGGUAUUACAAAGAUCAAUGUCGAUGGUGCGGUCUCUAAGAACUUGGGCCAAGGGGCAGCAGCGGCUAUAGCUCGCGAUUCUUGUGGAAACUAUCUUGGUUCUUCGGUGCGAGUCUGUGAAGGCGUGACGGACCCUGCGAGUUUGGAAGCUAUAGCAUGUUGUGAGGCACUUUGUUUGGCGGAAGAUUUACAUUUGCAGAAGUUGCGAGUGGCGUCGGAUGCUCAGGGGGUGGUACGUGAUAUUACUGGAGGCAGCCACUGCAGCUACAGCUCAGUGCUACAUGAAAUAGCAAGGCGCAGGAGUAUGUUUGAGGAGGUGACCUUUGUUUAUGAAGGGUGUGUACCAAAUGGAGAAGCUCACCUGCUAGCUAGAUACUCGGUAAAUUUAGAUUCUGGUCGGCAUGUAUGGCUCAUGGACUCAGACCCCUUUAUUGUACCGAAGAGUGUUGUUAUUGAAUAA
Molecule: ribosomal RNA, 1017 nt
Filed under: Triticum aestivum (bread wheat)
Lineage: Eukaryota; Viridiplantae; Streptophyta; Magnoliopsida; Poales; Poaceae
Description: partial small subunit ribosomal RNA
Source: RNAcentral